RNAcentral lists this small RNA (2707 nucleotides) under Rattus norvegicus (Norway rat). RNAcentral describes it as "uncharacterized LOC102546547". The record is from RNAcentral. Lineage: Eukaryota; Metazoa; Chordata; Mammalia; Rodentia; Muridae.
ACAACAGAAAAACAAAGAUGGCUAAAAUAAUGUAAACACUUUAGCAUUAAUGCACAGACAACAGGGAGAAAACAAGCGCAACAGCCACAAAUGUAGAAGGUAAUUUUGACCCCCUUAGUGCUGUGGGCAGCUUCCAAAUGCCUGCUGAACUUGUGGCAUGUUUUGGGAAUUAUACAGCCUGAGCCUCAGUCAGAUUCCUUACUGCACACUGGACCAAUUUCCGUAUCAGAGAUGAAGUAAAACUUAGAAGCGUAGAGGGACCAUCAAGUGACAAGAAGUUGCAUAUUAAUGUGCCUAAGGGCAAAUCUGCCAUGACAGAGUGUAUAUACAAACUAAGAUGGCUACCGUGGUACUAAGCCAGGGAGAGCUCACAGGAUGGCCACCAGUUAGAAAUGUUACCAAAAGCAGCACUGCUCAGAGAAUUGCCCCCAAGUCAAAAAGCAAACAGCCCAUGAGUUCUUCCAGAACUAUGAAAAAGCUGGCCUCAGCCAGUCUCUCAAAACUUCCCCACCAUCCCAAGCCACACGAGGGACUUGCUAAAAUUCACCUGGUGCACACCAGUGCUCAAAACUCCUCAUGGGUCUUUGGUACCUAUGGUAUAUGGAGUAUACAUUUUUAACAGUUCACUCAGGGUGAGGAAAGUAAGGGGCCUACUGUUCAAGCAGUAAGCAGCCUCUCCACCCAGAACAGGUACCACCUCCAACUUCAGACUCUAGGGGCUUCUUGUCCCACUCUGGGGCACUCAGGGCACUUUGAAGUGUGUCCAGUCCCUGUGGUUUAUUUUCUCUUACACCUGUGACUUUCCCAACACCAGUACACGACUUGUCUUUCCUCCCAUUCUUCCACUGUCUACCAUGCUAUGUAAUCACUACCGACUGAACUAAAUCCCCCUAGAAACCUGCCUCUGCCUCCUGAGUGAUGGAUGGAUGGGGUUAAAGGCAUAGCCUCAUGCCCGGCCCAACGGCCUUAAAUGUCUGUCCUCUGCAGAGUCUUGUACUACUCAACUUCCUCUAGAAGACUUUCAUGAUUAGCUGUCAUCUGCUUUAGCUCGACUUUCGACUUUCCAGUUUGCCACAGGGCACAUGACAGGUGCUUAAUCAAUACGUGUGACAAGCAGGGAAUGUUGAUGGUCAGGGAAGCGGAUAGAGGGAGACUGGGGGAAAAUGAUGAAAGGGCAGGUAUUGCGCCUCUGGCUCUGUCCUGUGCAGCCUAAACAUCUCCCCUCUGAGGGAAGGGCUCUCUCAUUCUGGAGAGAAGCGUUCCACUUCCCGCUGUCCCCGGUUAACGGCCCACUUUUCCUGGGCCCCGAGCCUCCUGAUUCAGAGCAAAGUCACAGUCUUCCCCAGAGCAGGAGGUUCCUGAAAACUUGGAAGUGGCACGGGGACUCAGCAGAGCUGGCCGGGAUGACCUCCGAGUAGCCUACCCCUGCAGUUCCCCUAACCCUGGCGAGGUCUCUCAAACUCUGGGGCCCCUCGCGGCCUCCCUGUCCCCGCUCCGCGCCCACCUGGCCUGCAAGAACGCGACACCGGGGCCGCCAGCCGCUCCGGGGAGCUGCCGCCUCCGCGCCGCCGCCUCCAUGGCCGCCACGCUCGGCCUCGCCUUCCGGGAGGAGAGACGGAUGCGCGUGCCGCGCGGAGCCUCGGCGCCUAGCGCGGGGAAGGCUGGGCGGGAGGAAGGAAGCCUUGCCUAGCCGGGCUUGAGAGUACUGAAUGGAGGUGAACCUGGGAUCCAGAAUGAUCAAGCUGUGAGGUCAUCAAAAGAUCUGGGGUCUAUGAGUCCUUUAAAUUGUACUGGAAGCACUCCUUCCUCGAAUUAAAGACUGAGCAAUCAACUAUCACCUGUACUUUGAUGGGUGAAGAGUACAGCGAAUUCUCUCCUAGUUGGGGGGCAGUGAGAUGAUCCAGAAUCCAGUCCUGGCUUUGUCAUUCGGGCUUGGCUUGCAAUGACCCACCCCUCGAACUCCCACACCCUGUCCAAAGGCUGGCUAGUAUGGAAGAAAGGAUCAGAAAGAAGAACACUGCUCAGGGAAAUGAGUGACUGAUGCUGGCAUGGGGAGGAACAAGUUUAGACUGGACCCCUCCAUCCCUGAGAACCUCAGGAAGCAGCUCAGGAAGGGCACUGGCAGGAGACUGGCAUAUGUGUGCAUUACAGUCUCAGCCCAUCCACAGGUGGGGGAGAAGAGGCAGAACUGAAGAUGGAGGAGGGGCAGCCUGUAGGGAGGGCUCCAAGCUCUAAUGAAGGUCUCGGACUAUAACAGUAAGCAGGGAGGGGGGCACAUGCACAGUGGUGUGGGAGUAUCUUUUUUGGAUGCAUGGCUGUAAGGGGAGAGGAGUUUAAGUGUGACCACGUUCUGCAUCUAAGGGGGUGGAGCAAGUACAGGGUAAAUGAGACGUCAUUUUUGGGAACAUGAACCUUGGGUUGGGUCAGGAUGCUGCCGGACCCAUGGUUCUGAAGCUCAGUCAACACAUUGGUGGGAGCCUGGCAGAACAUAGAACCCAAGAAGACAAUCUCCCUCUGAGAAAAGAGAACAGAAACCAAACAUGAGAAGUACCUGCAAGGCACGCUGUCUGAGGACCAGUCUAGCUGUGGCUCAGAUAAAUUGCUCAGCCCCUCCCAGACUCAGUUUACUCCUCUGUAACAAAGGGAAAGCUGUUUCCCCUAUCGCUUUGAGAGUACGGUGGUUAAAGAAAUGCACGAGCCUCUUGCA